Molecule: unclassified non-coding RNA, 379 nt
Filed under: uncultured bacterium
Lineage: Bacteria
Description: contains 16S-23S intergenic spacer region
Source: RNAcentral
UCCGGUUUGGCACCGGCAGUCUCUCUAGAGUGCCCGGCUUGACCCGCUGGUAACUAGAGACGGGGGUUGCGCUCGUUGCGGGACUUAACCCAACAUCUCACGACACGAGCUGACGACAGCCAUGCAGCACCUGUGCACGGACUCCGAAGAGGGCCCCUCGUUUCUGAAGGGUUUCCCGUGCAUGUCAAGCCCAGGUAAGGUUCUUCGCGUUGCGUCGAAUUAAUCCACAUAAUCCACCGCUUGUGCGGGUCCCCGUCAAUUCCUUUGAGUUUUAACCUUGCGGCCGUACUCCCCAGGCGGUCAACUUCACGCGUUAGCUUCGUUACCAAGGGAAUUAAUCCCCCGACAACCAGUUGACAUAGUUUAGGGCGUGGACUAC